RNAcentral lists this long non-coding RNA (2308 nucleotides) under Homo sapiens (human). RNAcentral describes it as "HSALNT0166472". The record is from RNAcentral. Lineage: Eukaryota; Metazoa; Chordata; Mammalia; Primates; Hominidae.
UUUUUUUUUUGAGGCAGAGUCUCACUCUGUCUCCAGUCUGGGUGCAGUGCCACAAUCUCGGCUCACUGCAGCCUUCGCCUUCUGAGUUUAAGUGAUUCUCCUGUCUCAGCCUCCCGAGUGGCUGGGACUACAGGCAUGCACCACCAUGACCAGCUAAUUUUUGUAUUUUUAGUAGAAACGGGGUUACACCAUGUUGGUCAGGAUGGUCUCGAUCUUUUGACCUCGUGAUCUGCCCACCUCAGCCUCCCAAAGUGCUGGGAUUACAGGUGUGAGCCACCGCGCCCGGCCUGUCCUGAUAACUUUUAAUAAGUAAUACAUUUUUAUGUCAAGGUCUUACAAUGGGUUGUUGCUGCAACACUGUUCUCUCCAGAUCUCCUUGUUCCCAAAAUUCAUUUGCAACCAUAAGUGCUACCUGCAAAUGAGAAAGGCUUGGUUCACUAAAUCCACUUAUGAAUAGAGAACUUGCAUUUUAUUAGUACAAGUGACAUUUAAGGAUCGAGUUUACAGUCAAUGUUUGAGGUGCUAUCAAACCGUAUGCUCUUAACUUUUAAAAAGAGGUCAUUUACAGAUUAUAUUGAAAUGCGAAAGGGGAGCUUUUUCUUCCUACUUCAGUGUUCUAGGCUUAUUCUAGGAGUAUCUAUCUCCCAUUUACGAUUGCCACCACUUCUCACCAACGAAAAGGAGAAAUAGGAGGAUUAAAUAUUAUGCUUCAAGUUCUAACACUUCGCCGGUUGUUCUUUGUCCUGUCUAUCUGUUAGCAUCUAGCAUAUGUCUGUGAAUGCACAUGUGACAUACACCCAUUAGUAUGUAGCUUUACCUAAUUACAGUGUGAGGAUAUUCCAGCAUUAAUUUAUAUCACUAAAAAAAAACAUUUAUCAAGUUCAUUGAACACCUGCUAGCUGCCUUUACAUUGGCAUGAGCCAGGCUUGCCAAGAGGAAUAAGGGGUGAUCUUUUUCUUUAAAAUGUUCAGAGUCUAGCGAAGACAGUCAUGUAUACAGUGUGGUAAGUGCUGUAACAAUAAUAGUGUAAGUGCUAUGGGUCAGGGAGAAGGGAGUAAAGAUAAGUUUCAUGAAGGAAGGAGGUGGCAUUUAUGUUGUAUUGUGAAGAACAAGAGUAAUUUUCCAGGAAAAGAGGAGGGGAAGAAUAUUUGCCGAGAUAAAAUGGAACGUACAAAGCUUCUGUGAGUGCAGGCUUAGAGUGUGAAGCAAUGACAUGGGAGAAGGUGAUGGGAAUUGAUGCUGGGAGUGUGAGUUGAGGACAGGCAGUGACAGGCCAUGUAAAUUUUGCCAGGAAGCUUGAAUUUGAUUCUCUAGGCCAGUGCUGUUUACUCUUGGAGUCUAGGGUUCCCCUGAAGUGCUCUAGGGCCCAAGAAGGUGGAGACCAAGAGAGAUGAAAGCUAAAGUAGCUUUGCUUUUUUCUCUUUUAUAAAGUGAUCUUUGGGCAAGUUUUGUUGGGAGAAAAUAGACUUUACUUCUUUGGGAAAGAAGUUGGAAACCUCUGGCAAUGGGGAGUAUGAGCCUUUUAAGGAGUAGAAUGGCUGAGUUGAGCUCUGUGUAGAGACAUCCUGGCAGCAAGUCAGAGGAUGACUUGUGGAGUUGAUGUGAGCAUCUAUUAGGAGGCUGCUACCAUAGUUCUGAUAAAAGUCAGAACUGAGGUACUAGCGAGGCUGAUAUAAAUGAUUUUGAAAUGAGGGAGAUAAGCUCAAGCAGGACCCCAGGUUUCUAGCUUGGGUGACCUCAUCGAUAAAGAACAGAGGAAGAAGAGCAGGCAUGUCGAGGUGGAAGGAGAGGAAGCAUUUGGUUUUGGACUUGAUGGUGACGGAGUUCAGGACACCCUGCCCCCAAAUAUUUUAAGGUGACGGAAUUUGAGGAAACUAAAGCAGCAGGAAGAUCAGUCUCACCUUCCCCCGACCUUCUCCCCUGAAGUAGGUCAUAAAACCAGGUAAGGAUUUUCUGACCUUCCCCUGAAGCAGAUCAUAAGACCUUCAUUCAAGAGGUGCCCUCCCUAUUCCUGGAGGAAAGGAGCCAGAGACACAAAGAUGCCAAGAAGAAUCUGAACAAAUCGGCCUUGCUAAGCUGCCUCACGAUUAGAUCAUACCCUCUUUGUUGAAUUCUAUUUCUCCAUGACUAUCUAAUUCAUCCAACCUAGCAUAAAACAUACAAGUUUAACUGUUUCUUAGGGUCUUUGUUUCCUCACGAAGGCUCCUGUAUUACAUGUAAAACAAAUAAACGUGUACGCUUUUCUCUUGUUAAUCUGUCUUUUGUUAUAGGGGCCUCAGUCAUGAAGCUAGGAUGGGUGAGAAAUAGA